This 322-nucleotide ribosomal RNA is filed under the name uncultured eukaryote. RNAcentral's name for it is "partial 18S ribosomal RNA". It matches the Rfam family "Eukaryotic small subunit ribosomal RNA", at positions 1470 to 1796 of the family's 1831-position model. The record is from RNAcentral.
CCCUUAGAUGUUCUGGGCCGCACGCGUGCUACACUGAGUAAUUCAAUGGGUAAGGGAACGCUAGAGCAUUACCUAAUCUUGAAAUUUGCUCGUGAUGGGGAUCGACGGUUGCAAUUUUCCGUCGUGAACGAGGAAUACCUUGUAGGCGCAUGUCAUCAUCAUGCGCCGAAUACGUCCCUGCCCUUUGUACACACCGCCCGUCGCUCCUACCGAUUGAGUGAUCCGGUGAGGCUCUGGGACCUGGACAGAAAGAGCGUUUCGCUUGUUCUGUUUGGGAAACUUGGUCGAACCUUAUCAUUUAGAGGAAGGAGAAGUCGUAACA